This 207-nucleotide ribosomal RNA is filed under the name uncultured bacterium. RNAcentral's name for it is "partial 16S ribosomal RNA". It matches the Rfam family "Bacterial small subunit ribosomal RNA", at positions 568 to 774 of the family's 1533-position model. The record is from RNAcentral.
CGCGUAGGCGGGAUGGCAAGUCGGUCGUGAAAUCUCUCGGCUCAACCGAGAAACGUCGGCCGAUACUGCCGUUCUUGAGGGAUGCAGAGGAGACUGGAAUUCCCGGUGUAGCGGUGAAAUGUGUAGAGAUCGGGAGGAACACCGGUGGCGAAGGCGGGUCUCUGGGCAUUUCCUGACGCUGAGGCGCGAAAGCGUGGGGAGCAAACG